Molecule: transfer RNA, 62 nt
Filed under: Cucujoidea sp. 11 KM-2017
Lineage: Eukaryota; Metazoa; Arthropoda; Insecta; Coleoptera
Description: tRNA-Cys
Source: RNAcentral
AGUCCUAUAUUCAAGCAUGAUUUUAAAUUGCAAAUUUAAAGGUAAGAUAUUCUUUAGGGCUU